UACGUAGGAGACGAGCGUUGUCCGGAAUUACUGGGCGUAAAGCGCGUGUAGGCGGAUGAGCAAGUCUGCUGUGAAAGCUCCUGGCUUAACCGGGAGUGGUCGGUGGAAACUGCUCGUCUGGAGGACGGUAGAGGUAGGUAGAAUUCCCGGUGUAGUGGUGAAAUGCGUAGAGAUCGGGAGGAAUACCUGUGGCGAAGGCGGCCUACUGGGCCGUUGCUGACGCUGAGGCGCGACAGCGUGGGGAGCAAACAGG
This 253-nucleotide ribosomal RNA is filed under the name uncultured bacterium. RNAcentral's name for it is "partial 16S ribosomal RNA". It matches the Rfam family "Bacterial small subunit ribosomal RNA", at positions 524 to 776 of the family's 1533-position model. The record is from RNAcentral.